CAAUAGCGUAUAUUAAAGUUGUUGCAGUUAAAAAGCUCGUAGUUGGAUUUCGGGGUGGCCUGCCUGGUCCACCGCAAGGUGAGUACUGGUCAGCCGCCCUUCCUCUCGAAAGCCCCGACUGCUCUUCAUUGCAGUGGUCGGGUAGUUCGGGACGUUUACUUUGAAAAAAUUAGAGUGUUCAAGGCAGGCCGUCGCCUGAAUACAUUAGCAUGGAAUAAUGGAAGAGGACCUCGGUCCUAUUUUGUUGGUUUCUAGGGCCGAAGUAAUGAUUAAGAGGGACAGUUGGGGGCAUUCGUAUUUAAUUGUCAGAGGUGAAAUUCUUGGAUUUAUGAAAGACGAACUAGUGCGAAAGCAUUUGCCAAGGGUGUUUUCAUUAA
This 377-nucleotide ribosomal RNA is filed under the name uncultured eukaryote. RNAcentral's name for it is "partial 18S ribosomal RNA". It matches the Rfam family "Eukaryotic small subunit ribosomal RNA", at positions 592 to 976 of the family's 1831-position model. The record is from RNAcentral.